UAAACGAUGUCGACCCAGCCGUUGGGUGCCUAGCGCACUUUGUGGCGAAGUUAACGCGAUAAGUCGACCGCCUGGGGAGUACGGCCGCAAGGUUAAAACUCAAAUGAAUUGACGGGGGCCCGCACAAGCGGUGGAGCAUGUGGUUUAAUUCGAUGCAACGCGAAGAACCUUACCUACUCUUGACAUCCUGCGAACUUGUGAGAGAUCACUUGGUGCCUUCGGGAGCGCAGAGACAGGUGCUGCAUGGCUGUCGUCAGCUCGCGUUGUGAAAUGUUGGGUUAAGUCCCGUAACGAGCGCAACCCUUGUCCUUAUUUGCCAGCGGGUAAUGCCGGGAACUCUAAGGAGACUGCCGGUGACAAACCGGAGGAAGGUGGGGACGACGUCAAGUCAUCAUGGCCCUUACGAGUAGGGCUACACACGUGCUACAAUGGCCGGUACAAAGGGUUGCGAGCUCGCGAGAGUCAGCUAAUCCCGAAAAGCCGGUCUCAGUCCGGAUCGGAGUCUGCAACUCGACUCCGUGAAGUCGGAAUCGCUAGUAAUCGUGAAUCAGAAUGUCACGGUGAAUACGUUCCCGGGCCUUGCACACACCGCCCGU
Molecule: ribosomal RNA, 596 nt
Filed under: uncultured bacterium
Lineage: Bacteria
Description: bacterial SSU rRNA
Rfam family: Bacterial small subunit ribosomal RNA
Source: RNAcentral